UCCUGGCUCAGAACGAACGCUGGCGGCAAGCUUAACACAUGCAAGUCGAACGGAUUAUUCUUGUAGCUUGCUAUGAGAAUAAUUAGUGGCAGACGGGUGAGUAAUGCAUAGGAAUCUACCUAGUAGUAUAGGAUAGCCACUAGAAAUGGUGGGUAAUACUGUAUAAUCCCUGCGGGGGAAAGAUUUAUCGCUACAUGAUGAGCCUAUGUUAGAUUAGCUAGUUGGUGGGGUAAUGGCCUACCAAGGCAGUGAUCUAUAGCUGGUCUGAGAGGAUGAUCAGCCACACUGGAACUGAGACACGGUCCAGACUCCUACGGGAGGCAGCAGUGGGGAAUAUUGGACAAUGGGCGCAAGCCUGAUCCAGCUAUGCCGCGUGAGUGAGGAAGGCCUUAGGGUUGUAAA
This 402-nucleotide ribosomal RNA is filed under the name Anaplasma bovis. Its description in RNAcentral is "bacterial SSU rRNA". It matches the Rfam family "Bacterial small subunit ribosomal RNA", at positions 17 to 429 of the family's 1533-position model. Lineage: Bacteria; Pseudomonadati; Pseudomonadota; Alphaproteobacteria; Rickettsiales; Anaplasmataceae. The record is from RNAcentral.